Cygnus olor (mute swan) is the source of this 3323-nucleotide long non-coding RNA. RefSeq lists it as uncharacterized. The record is from RefSeq and is a predicted model, not a curated record. NCBI's taxonomy places the organism in Eukaryota, Metazoa, Chordata, Aves, Anseriformes, Anatidae. The transcript has 2 exons.
CCUUCUAAAAUUAAAAGAAAACCAACGCUUGGUUCCCAGUUUUGUCGACGACUGUAUCACAAAGUUCUGCUCAGACAUCUUGCGGCGCUCACAAAAUUGUUCUCCUGGCAAGCGGGGAGGUUGUGCUGUUACAAGGAAAGGAGGGCCGUCUGCUCUCUGACGAACGGGACCGGUCUGCGGCUGCAGACACCACUCGUGGCCGAGCUGGGCCAGUGACAGGACUAACUGGGAAAGCGCAGCAGCCGGAGUGGGCAGCCAACGAGGUGCCAGCAGCACGGGGCACUCGCCGGCUUUGGCUGCCAAGGGCAUUGGAAAACCUGGAAAAUCUGAGGGAGUGGGACGUGGGCCAUCAUGACUCACGCGAUGCAGCAAUACUUACAAAAUCCUUCUUAGAAAUAGUCUUGUAGCAGCGGCAGGCCUUUCACCAAAAUCAACGUUCCAGUUUCCACAAAGAACACCGCUGUCCUCAUCCCUGCCCCGGCUCUUUGAAGCUAAGGCUCUGUGAAGGCCACGCAAAGCAGCGUCUGGCAAUUUGGCCUUUUUUUUUUUCAGUUGCUAAGGGUAGUCUAGCGUUACCCUUACAGAGCAGCAAGGUCUGGAGGUCACACUCAUCUCCCAUGGGGGUUCAUUCCACAGGUGAGGCCUCUUCCUUCUCUCCCUCUUUUCCACAGACUCUCCCCUCCAGGCGCCGCUCUGAGCUUGUCACCCUGCGCUUUGUCUGCUUCAAAAGCAGCCUCAAAAGGCAUUUAAACAAAGAACUCGCCAACACCUCGCUCACCUGUGGCUUGCCUUGCCGCAGAGCACAACGCCGUUCAGUGCACAGCUCUAGGCCUGCUUUCAGUCCUUACGUAACGACAUUGAGGGCGAGGAUCCAAACCUUGCAGGCAGUCCACGGGAGCCUUCGGCCUCGCUUCAUCUCCAUCUGCUGCAGGGUUUGGGGCAGGCACAGCCCCAGGCACAGACAAAGCCAGCGCCAGGGCUGCAGCGAGCACUUCCUACCAUGCUCCCACACGAGACAGAGUAUUGAAGGAGAAAUGGAUUUCAGCCCCAUCCUUGGCUUCUGCAGGAAGCCAACACCAGUGCCCACAAACAGUCGUGGCCCUCACAAGACUUGAAAGCUUGUGACUGGCUUUUUGCCCAUCAGAUGAAAAAAUCAGAUCCCAACACAAUGCUUCAUCCCUCAGUGCCAGCAGACGAUCUGAGAUUUAAUCAACCUCUGAAGAGGAGAUCUCCUGAUACCUGUAGUUAUCUAUUUAUUGCUUUCUCUGGAUAAAAUCCACUUACUAGGGCUGCAGCUGCUUUACAUCCAUCUAUGCUGGCAGCGUUAUUCCCUGCGCCCUGCUGCGAGCCCCACAAGGUGCCCCAAGGCCAAGCCCAUCAUCCUGCCCGGUCGCAGUGUUUCAGCACAGCCACAUGCGGGGGUCCAGGCACCCAUCACGAGGUGGUUCAGCCGCAUUCAUCCUUCAAAAAGCCUCUUGGAAAGGUCAUCUGUGGUCAGCCGAGCUAAAGCUGUGGUCAGCCAAGCUGAAGCUGUGGUCAGCCAAGCUGAAGCUGUGAACACCUCUGUGACCACAUAGCUGAAAGCUGCAGCCAGGCCCUUCUGCCCCAAAUAAACCCCCUAAACCUGGGGUCCUGGGGACACUGCAACAGCCAGAGGAGUGGUUCCUCCAGCCCCGAGAUGCUCCGUUUCCCUCCCUUGCACAGCACGAGAAAGUUUUGCCCACCAAACAGUUUGCCACUGAGACCCUAUUGACUCCAUGCCACGCGCAGCCCCGCUGUCUGCCAUCACCCGAGGUAACAAGUUGCAAAGAGCACGCAUAUAUUUUUUUUAAACCCAGCACACAGCAAACACCUCUUAAUUCAAUUGGUUGAAUUGACACAGAGAGAUUAUUAGUUUUCAGUAAGAUUUGAUUAAAUUAAUUAGCUUGAAAAUAUCAGCACAGCCAGGCAAGCAAAGAAAAACAGAGAUAAAUCCCUGCCAUAGCACUGCUUCAUCUUUUAAAGGCAAUUAAUUCUUAGUUAUUAGCUUUUAAUUAGGGAAUAAUAAUGACACCAUUAAUACAGUUUAUUAUACUUGUCAGCAGACAGCUGUUCCAAACAGAUUUUAUUAUCAGAUCUUGGCGGCUUUUGUCUGCUCUGCUCCCCCUCUUAGCAGGCAUCCCCAGAGGGUCCUCCGGGACUGCAAAGGAGUGGGUGCCUUGCAUAAUUCUCAUGGCUUUAUUUUAUUUUAUUUUAUUUUAUUUUAUUUUAUCUAACCUUUAUAAACUGCUUUCUCUCUCAGAGAAUCCUGGCGGCAGCAGGAUCCAGCCUUGACAGUGCAUUUGAUGUCUCUCUCACGGGUAAUUCACACGCCUUUCUGUCUGUGGUUCUGGGGGGAGAGGCUGGAUCUGUGCCAAAGCUGGUUUCACACCUCGGCUCCUGACAUCUGAGACGGCAUCCAACACGCAAAACAUUUAAGAUGCCAAAAAAUUCACUGUUUUGUUUUGUUUUCUUCUGAGCUUAGCCAUCUCUUUGGAAGCACCAUGUUCAUUUAGAACACAGUAGAAAUGAUUUGGAAGCAAAUAAUAAUUUUAAGUAAAUCAAGCAUUCCAAAUAAGUUUACCCAUUCUUAAUCUCAUUCCACCCUACUGCUGAGUGCCUAUCACUAGGAGAAGGCAGCUGCAAAGGGUGAAAGAAAUACCAUGUAAUACUCUUUAUUUUCUUGCCCCAAAUUUACCCUGAAAGUGUAAACUCCAAAUCCUUUAAGACGAACCUCUACCACACUAUCAGCAGCAAGCUGCCUCAAGUUUUCAUUGAUGCUUUAUUACUUCUUUGUCUGCUGUGUCACUAAAAUAAAAUAUCCAUAAGACUCAUAAUUACACAUGCUAUCACACAUACAGGAAAGCACAUGUUCUCCUUAUUUUCACCAUCACCCUUUUUCACUGUGUCCUAGACAGAGCUGUUGCAACUCCCUGGCAGAGGCUGCAAACUACUCCCAGGGCAGAGGCCUUUCCUAGCUGUGCUUUACUAUUCCUCUAUAAGAGAGUCUCAAACCCAGUCAUGUAUGCAGGAUGCCACUGUAACACAAAAAUGUAAUGCCAUACAUCUCCCUGAUUUACUCUGGAGUUAAUAAAUCACAGAAACACUACAGUGUAAAAUAGCGUGUUGGGUUCCGCUACCUUGAUUUAAUUUUUUUUAACCUCGCUCUGGACUGGAAGAAGCCCUAAAGGAAAUUCCAGGUUGCCAGGAGCUUGGAGGCUCAGGUCAGCAGGAGAGAACACGCUCCCCAGCACCGAAAGCCUGUUCGUGGCAGGCAUCUUCCUCCUCGCUCAACACAGUGCAGC